AAAAACAUGGCUCUUUGAUUAUAUAAAUAUAAAGAGUCGAGCCUGCCCGGUGAAAAUUUUUUUUAACGGCCGCGGUACUCUGACCGUGCAAAGGUAGCAUAAUCAUUUGCCUUAUAAUUGAAGGCUAGUAUGAAUGGUUUGACGAGAACAAUGCUGUCUCCUUGUUAUUUUCAAGAAUUUAACCUUUAGGUGAAGAGGCCUAAAUUUUAUUGAAGGACAAGAAGACCCUGUCGAGCUUAAAAGAUAUUGCAGAAUCUUAUAUAUUUUUAAAUAAAUUUCUGCUAGGCUUUUUAGUUGGGGCGACUAAGGAACAAAAAAAGCUUCUUAUUAAAAAUAAACAACCACGUUUAGAUCCGAUAAUAAUCGAUUAAAGAAAUUAGUUACCGCAGGGAUAACAGCAUAAUCUUUCUUAAGAGACCUAAUCGAAAGAAGGGGUUGUGACCUCGAUGUUGGACUAGAAUAUCCUAAAGAUGCAGAAGUCUUUAAAGGUCGGUCUGUUCGACCGUUAAAAUUCUACGUGAUCUGA
This 526-nucleotide ribosomal RNA is filed under the name Semisulcospira libertina. RNAcentral's name for it is "partial 16S ribosomal RNA". It matches the Rfam family "Bacterial large subunit ribosomal RNA", at positions 1809 to 2608 of the family's 2925-position model. Lineage: Eukaryota; Metazoa; Mollusca; Gastropoda; Semisulcospiridae. The record is from RNAcentral.